This 4823-nucleotide long non-coding RNA is filed under the name Sus scrofa (pig). RNAcentral's name for it is "lncRNA (ENSSSCG00055013244.1)". The record is from RNAcentral. Lineage: Eukaryota; Metazoa; Chordata; Mammalia; Artiodactyla; Suidae.
CCGCGGCUCCGCUUAGCUAGGUGGCUGCCUCCAUGUCCUCCCUCGAACCAUCUGAUAGUUUUAAGCGGUGACAGGAGCAGAAAAGACCCCUGUAGCGGCGCUUCAUUAAUGUGCCACUUCUUAGCUAUCAUAUGACAAUCGCCUUGGGAGGAGGAGGAAGAGGAGGGGGAGCGGGGGCUGCAGAGGGAGGGGACUGAGCGAGAGGGGAGAGCCUGGCCAGCUCUCAUUUCUUUCACACCUAUUUACAUGGACACCUUGGCCAAUAGGAAUCACUUCCAGCUCAAGACUGAGCGUGGGGGAAGAGCCUCGGCCACCGGAGGGGAGCAGGACGCGCUGGUCAGGGUGCACGGUGUGAAGAAAAAUCUCAAGUCAGAAGAAAGCUUUGCUGAGGCAACAUGAAGGCGUAAGACCCGAUGAAGGUAUACUGUACAGGUUUCUCCUCAGCCUGCUCAUUGAGGAAAGACCACUUGCUCACACAUUAUAGAAGUUCCUGGGCCAGGCAUCAAACCCGUGUCACAGCAGCAACCUAAGCUGCUGCAGUGACAAUGCUGGAUCCGCAACCUGCUGUGCCACAAGGUCCCCGAUGAAUGGAAGUCUUUAAACACUGCCGCCCAAAACAAUGUCCUCAGCCCUGUUCUGUCUCCUGGCUGUUCCCAUGGCAUGUUCGCAGGGUAAGGUCAAAUCAGAGCUACAGCUGCUGGUCCACGCCACAGCCACAGCAAUGCGGGAUCCGAGCUGCGUCUGCAACCUACACCACAGCUCACGGCAACACCGGAUCCUUAACCCACUGAGCGAGGCCAGGGAUGGAACCCACAACCUCAUGAUUCCUAGUCGGAUUCGUUUCCGCUGCAGCACAACAGGAACUCCAAGAAUUUAGAUUCUAUUCACAGCAGGGCACUUGUGUAGCAACUUACGCCUUGGAAAAAUCUUUAAAACUUGAAAAAAUAUUGAUGUUGAUACCAAAACACGUAUGGCUGUAUAAUGUAUAAUGAAAGGGAAGCUCAUUAUGAUUCCACUAACCUCAGCACUGAGUGUGGAAAAAGAGGAAUUUCUACGACAUUUGCCCAAAACAGAGGGAAGGAAUUAGAGGUAGUGACUGAUACUGGGGUCUGAAAUAACUCUUAUAUCCUCCAUUUAAACACAUUUUUUUUCUUUCUUUCUUUCUUUUUUUUUUUUUUAGGGCCUUAUCUGCGGCAUAUGGAAGUUCCCAGGCUAGGGGUUGAACCAGAGCUGCAGCUGCCAGCCUAUGCCACAGCCACAGCAAUGCAGCAUCCUUAACCCACUGAGAAAGGCCAGGGAUUGAACCCACGUCCUCAUGGAUACUAGUUGGGCUUAUUUCCACUGAGCCACAGUGGGAACUCCAACAUCUCUUAAAUAUAAUAUUUAAAUCCAAAAUACAGUAAUUUAUGGGGUUCUUUCGUGGUGCAGUGGGUUAAGGAUGUGGCAUUGUCACCAUUGUGGCUGUGAUCACUUCUGUGGCACAGGUUGCAUCCCUGGCCCAGGAACAUCCACAUGCUGCAGAUAUGGCCCAAAACCAAAACCAAAAAGCAAAAAACCGCAGUAAUUUGUGCUAAUUCCUUUCUGUUUCCAGGGAAAAAGUCUGUAAUAGGCAGAGAGCCUUUUUCAGAUGAGAAGUGGUUGCAGGGGCAUGAAGUACAGUUGUCUUGCACACUGCACAUUAGUGCCUGAGCCAGGAGAAAUGGGGCUGGAAUCCAUCACAAAUGCAGCAACCUCCCCGGUUAUCAAGAAGGAGUUUUGUGGGUUGGCUCCAGCAGUGGGUGCUUGGGAAGAUGCAGGCGAUCCCAUGUAGAGACUGAGCUAGAAAACCUAAGGUUCUCCAGAAGAUCAAAAAUCCAGAAUGGAAAUAGUCAAAGAUGGAAUGUAGGGCUGCAUUGAGGCAAAAACCACAAAGUAAGAAAUUAUCAACAACCUUCAUACAACAUCUGAUUUAUUUGCCAGGUGUUUGGGGAAACCAGUGACCUUGAGAGAUAUUUACUCGAGGGAGGCACCUGAUGUAAUAACAUCUAACAGCUUCAGUGGGAGGAUGGGUGUGGCAAUGAAGGAUUCCUGUUGGGAGGUGAUGCCAAGGGAGGAGGGACAGGCAAAGACAAGGAGUCAGGGAAGGCUUUUUACAGGAAGAAACUCUUGGGCUAGGCCUUAUAGGGUUCACUAGCUAGACAAGAAGGAAAGGCAAUUUGAUGGAGACAUAAGUAAAGUUUGGAAGCAUGGAAUUUGACAAAUUUGAGGAAGAGCAAAUAGUUUGGUGUAUCUGGAAUAUCAGACCUGACUGGAGGUAAGAUUCAGGAACUGGAGGUAUAGAGAGAAGGGUUGUUGGAUAAGGUCUCUACUUUGCCAGGAAGUUCGAAUGUGAUCCAGGAGGCAGUGAGGUUGACUAAAGCUCCCUGGUAGUUUGAAAAGAUAACUUUACAUAGGUAGAGUCAGGAGGUAGACUUCAUUGAAAGCCUUAUGGGAGUUGGAGAAGAAUAAGCUCUGUAAAAAUACAUUUAAGUAGAUUGUAUCAAAUACUGACCUAAAUUUUUGUGCAUAUCAUCUCAUUUAAUCCUUAUAACAACCCUCUAUUAGGAGGUACUAAUAGUCUAUUUUAGAUGAGGAACUGGGGCUCAGAGAGGUUAAGUAAUUUGUCCUAGGUCACACAGCAAAUGAGAGGCAGGAUAAAACCCAAAGCAGCCUGGCCCCAGUGUCUGGGCUCAAAACCAUUUUGCUAAGUUUCCUGUGUUGGGCAGUGGACCCAGUAUGCUGCUCAUGGUAAGUGCUCAGGAAAGGCUGGCACUGAACUAACCUCCCCCUGCUCUCUCAUCUCUCAAUAACUAGGCAGUCUUUUUCAUCAUCUGUUUCCCUUGACACACUUUCUAGAGGUCAGGAAGACAAACAAGAAGCACUCCCUGUUCAUUUAUUCUCUUUAGUGGGCCUUCACCUUCCACUUACAGUGAGUGAAAUGGUGUCACCAAGGCAUGUCAUGGGCCUUCAGUGAAGAAAUUUAAAUGUACAUAUUUUUAUAUUUAUACGUAGUUUUUGAUUAAUAAUUUUUUUUUAAUUGUGUGAGCUAUCUUUUGAAAGAAGCGCUUCCAACUCCCAUAGAACACUUUUGACAUGAGUCUGUAAAAUUGAUUGAGACAGUUUGCCAAAGCCGCCAGUCUAAUUAAUGACUUACUAUAACCUCCAGUUUUAUUAGGUCUAUAUUUCUAGUAUAUUGGUACAUAUAUUAAUGACUGGCCUGUGAAUAAACUGACAGUUUUCAAAUGAUACGAGAUAACUUGUUUUCUUAUGGGGAAUUCACUUGUGCCUUGAACUUAGAGUAAAAGGAUUAUCAGUUCAGUAAAUUAUGACUCCAGUGUUCUUAUGAUCACCUUAGCAAUAGGAAGGCUGUCUGGAUUUUAUUUCUUGAUGAAACUGUACUUUGGAUGAGUCUCUCUGGUUAAUCUCAUGCUCUAGGAAGUAGGACACUUGCCUUCAUAGUUAUAGACUUAUCAAGCAGAGAAACAUUCACCAGGGGUCUGCUGGUUUCCUGUAUUAGUAAUAUCCAAACCUCUACUUUCAAAUUCUCUUUAACAUGGAGUUCUCAUUGUGGCUGAGCAGGUUAAGAACUCAACAUAGUGUCCGUGAGAAUGUGGGUUUGAUCCCCAGCCUCACUCAGUGGGUUAAGGAUCUGGCAUUGCUGCAAGCUGCAGCAUAGGUUGAAGAUGCAGCUUGGAUCUGGUGCUGCUGUGCCUGUGGUGUUGGUCGGCAGCUGCAGCUCCAAUUUGAUCCCUAGCCUGGGAACUUCCAUAUGCCUCAGGUGUGGCUGUAAAAGAAAAAAAAUUAUCUUUAACUUUUAAUAAAAUGUAUAUAAAGCAUUUUAUAAUGGGACAGAUAUUAAUAAGAUAAACAAUAUGAAUUUCAUAAAAACAACAAAAAGUAGUUGGAUAGAUAGUCUACUGUCUAAUUGGAAACAAUUUACAUCAUUCCCCCAAAAGGGGACACCACAUAAUCCAAGCUUUUUAUGUGUAUACUGCACGGGCAAAGUUUGGUUAAGAUAUAGUGGUAGAAACAAAAAUCACUGAGUUACUCUGAGUUGCCAUGUUUUCCAGCCCUCUCUUUCCAAAUUCACUGUCUUUUUGAAAGGGAAACUUUGAAAUUAAUGUGACAACUUAUGUGAAAAUCAUAUACAGAGCUGAAAUUUUUCAUUUGCAAUUAACCCAGACAGUCUGAACCGGGCCUACAGUAAGUCCGUCAAAGAUUUAGGGGUUACGAUGUGCUUGAGGGUUAUUCCCAAAGGCAUAGGAUAAUGCAAGGCUGAUUUUCCAUAGUGCUAACAAAGGAUAGCUGCUAUUUGUUUCUCAGUUGGAGUGGACGCCACCAUGUGGCAAUAGCAUAAACACAGAUUACAAAUCACACAACCAGCCUGCUUCAAAAGGAGAUACUUGAGGUUUUUUUUUUUUUUAUUUGAGAUUAUGUGCCUUGUUGAAAAUGUUAUACAUGAGAAGACAUUCAAUUUAUAUUUUUAUACUAUAUAAUUUCAAAUUAGUUUUUUUCAAAAUCACAUAUAAAAAUAUGAAAGUGGAGUUCCCGUCGUGGCGCAGUGGUUAACGAAUCCGACUAGGAACCAUGAGCUUGCGGGUUCGGUCCCUGCCCUUGCUCAGUGGGUUAACGAUCCGGCGUUGCCGUGAGCUGUGGUGUAGGUUGCAGACGCGGCUCGGAUCCCGCGUUGCUGUGGCUCUGGCGUAGACCGGUGGCUACAGCUCCGAUUCAACCCCUAGCCUGGGAACCUCCAUAUGCCGCGGGAGCGGCCCAAGAGAUAGCAACAACAACAACAACAAAAGACG